UUUAUCGGAGAGUUUGAUCCUGGCUCAGGACGAACGCUGGCGGCGUGCCUAAUACAUGCAAGUCGAGCGGACAGAUGGGAGCUUGCUCCCUGAUGUUAGCGGCGGACGGGUGAGUAACACGUGGGUAACCUGCCUGUAAGACUGGGAUAACUCCGGGAAACCGGGGCUAAUACCGGAUGGUUGUUUGAACCGCAUGGUUCAGACAUAAAAGGUGGCUUCGGCUACCACUUACAGAUGGACCCGCGGCGCAUUAGCUAGUUGGUGAGGUAACGGCUCACCAAGGCGACGAUGCGUAGCCGACCUGAGAGGGUGAUCGGCCACACUGGGACUGAGACACGGCCCAGACUCCUACGGGAGGCAGCAGUAGGGAAUCUUCCGCAAUGGACGAAAGUCUGACGGAGCAACGCCGCGUGAGUGAUGAAGGUUUUCGGAUCGUAAAGCUCUGUUGUUAGGGAAGAACAAGUGCCGUUCAAAUAGGGCGGCACCUUGACGGUACCUAACCAGAAAGCCACGGCUAACUACGUGCCAGCAGCCGCGGUAAUACGUAGGUGGCAAGCGUUGUC
RNAcentral lists this ribosomal RNA (563 nucleotides) under Bacillus siamensis. RNAcentral describes it as "bacterial SSU rRNA". It matches the Rfam family "Bacterial small subunit ribosomal RNA", at positions 1 to 545 of the family's 1533-position model. Lineage: Bacteria; Bacillati; Bacillota; Bacilli; Caryophanales; Bacillaceae. The record is from RNAcentral.